AAUAUCUGUGCCUCCGUAUCAACUGUUCGGAAAAAACCCGGAGCGCUGUAUUAUUCCCCUUAUCUUGCGAGUUACAGUACCCACAGCGCAAGCGCCGCCGCCACUCGCCAGGGACGAGACGAAGCCGCCGGCGCCGCUGCAACUGAUGGCGACGCCGCGCUGCGCGUUCCCUGACCGGAGCCUGAACGUUCCCAUCGUCUUUGCUCUGGCACCCUAAGCCACGACGCUUCUCCUUCCUCCUUCCGCCGCCGCCGCGUUGUUUUUCCCCUCGACCCUACCAACUUCGCGACGACGCUUCUCCUUCCUCCCUCUGCUGCGGCGUUCUGUUCGACGCCGUCGCCCAAUCUUGUGCCACCGCAGUUGAGCUCGUUCAUUGUACCCUGCCGAAUUUGGUCUGCCGUUUUCACCGCCGCAGUUCUCAGCGUCUGCAUUGUCGGCGGCGGGCUUCAGCGGCGGUUGCUACCCGAGGUAUCGCUGCUACAAUCUACUGCCCAGAAGAAGAUGAUCUUUUAGGUUGUUGUUUCAAUUCUUAUAUUAGACUGAGUUAGGGCAAUUACUUUGCUGACAUGGAUUAUCACUAAAAUUUCUCCAAGUUAGCUCCUCUAUAAUAUGAGUUUUAUCCACUCAAGCAGCGCAAACCAGAAUGGAAGAAUCUGAAACCAAUGAAGCACCUCUGAACCGUACGUCUCCUCGUAUUAAACGGGAGAAAUCAUCACCCCAGGAUAAAGCUAUUUAUGAUAUUAAUGAUGGCCACACUGUGGAGGUUCAGCGCAACAAAAGGAAGAAGGUUUCGAAAGAUGCAAAACCGAAGCAAGUAAUGUUCCUCAACAGUGACUGUAUGUACACAAAUUUUCCAUUACUGUCUUAGAAUUGAAGGUUCAAUAAUUACUCAAUUGGUCCUAUCUGUUCAAUUCAGAAUGUUGGAUUCAAAUGUUCAGUUGUAAUGCUGAAAUCCUUGAUUGAUCGGUUGUCUCCGGAUCAAUGCCAGUGGAUUCGUGACUGUGGCUUUGGUGCCUUAUUGGACAUACGUAACUGCAAGCUGCCCAAGCGUUUGACACUGUGGUUGAUCAACAAAUUUAAUUAUCAUACUGGAGCACUUGGGUUUCAUGGAAUGUCAAUUCCAAUAAAACCAUUAAUACAGAAGCUUCUUGCACUUCCCGCCGGCGAUAUCCCAGUUACAGCGCCUCUAUUCACUGUUGCGGGGAAGACAAAAGUGUUGAACCCUAAUGCUGAGCAAAGAGAAUUCAGAGAUGAUAAAGGUGGUCGUGGGAAAGCACUGCACUUGGUCAUCGACGACCUCAUUGCGUGUCAUGUUCAACAAAAGUUCCAGAGAACAUUUCUUCUUGUUGUCUUUUGUAUCUAUCUUGCUCCGACGAGCAGUCAUCUUAUCAACCGGAACUAUUUGGAAUGUUUAAACAACAUGGAAGAAGUUGCUUGGAAUGAACUGGUGUGAGUAUGUUGCUGAUUACCUUAUACAAGGUAUCCGGGAGUACAAUGAGUCUAACGCAACAAAUAUAUUUGUUCACGGAUGUGUACACAUUCUGCUUCUCAUAUACCUUAAUCUUCUAAAAUCACCUUCACUGGGAGUUCAACCUGGGUUCCCGCGUACGCAUUCUGCACUACGGAGCUAUUGGAACAACUGGAUUCCAUUCACACCAGGCAGCAGGUGAAAAUCCUUUAUUUUUAAUUCAUAUUGCUGUAGUCCGGAUCAUUUGAGAAGGUCACCCACAUGCCAAUCAGCAACCUGGUCUUAAUUCAUACUGCAAAAUAUGAAGACUAUUUACUUAUAAAAUCCUCGAUCAUGUCUUUCCUCUGGUUUAGUUUUGCCGUUCUGGUGUACUUCCUAAUCGUAAAGGAAUGUGGCCUUUAUUCCUUUUUGCAUUUCAGUUAGUGAUGUUUGCAUGAUUCAGAGGUGUUUUUUACCAGUAGAGUCUCCGUUCUAUGUGUUGUUGCUUCUAGUAUGAGCUUUAGCUGCUUCCAGGUAUUAUUUACAGUGGUACGAGCAAACAGUUUACAAGUAAUAGAGCAUGUAAUAAAUUUUCAGUUUGUACUCACCUUGCUAUAGUAGUAAAUCUGAGGCCACCAGGUUUUGGUUUUGUUAUUUUUUGGGAUUGUCUGCAAUCUUACACCAGGUGCAAUACAAAUCUCUGGAAGAACUUGGAGCUUUAUAUAGUGCAGAUCUUUCCCAGGUGCGGUCGUCCUUACGACAUGAACCUGUGAUCGAACAAGGUAGCCAACAGCUGCAGUUAUCUCAAGCAGACCCUGGCAUUGAAGUGACAAGAUGUAGUAAUCACGUUAGGCAAGACGACAAAGAGCAGCAGCUGAGGAUGAUCGAGCAGCAAUACCAGGUUGACCGUGAUCAAUGUAUAAACGAGAUGAAGCUAAGAAUUCAGAAGCUCGAUGCUGCUCGAUCAACAGCAAUUAAAGCUUUGCUCGAUACUACUAUUGGUUCCAAUACACACAUGCAGGCAAGUGCUCCUGCAGAUGUUGGUGCGCAGUCCUCUAGUGCCAACGACGAACAAGUUGUUGUCAAGGACAUACCUCAUGUAAACAGCAGCCCAGCACCAAUCGAUACACCAACAGCUCCGCAUGGGAACCACGAUAAGGUACGCCUGGAUACAGUGGCACAUUGGCUGAAAGAAGAAAAGCAACUUGCGGAAACAUCUUCAGCAAAUGAUGCAGUCCCAGAUUGGUUGAUAGAAGAGAAGCAGCUACAUCCUGUCAAACUGGAACCGGAUGCUACGCUUGUCUCUCUGUUCCAUUGUUUGUAGCCAAAGCUUUCUGCUGAUUGAUGUGUACGAUUGCAUGAAGGUAGUGUCUGAAAGUUGUUGGACAACUCGUAGCAGUGUUAGGUACCUGCAUUAACACAAGUAUUAUGCCUUAAACAGCAAAUACUUUAGCACGGUUUAGCAGCUUUUAGCCGUGUAAAUGCUUGUAAUGGGGUGCUGCGUGAUGACGUUCCUGCCUGCGUGCAUGUUAGGAAUUAAUCUUGUCUAGUCCGAAGAGUACUGGUUAGAGUCGGAGUAGGCCAAUGUCAGAGUCCUAGUCGGACUUGGUUCUGGUGGUUGGUUUGCUAGCCACGUCCAUGUAUAAAUAUACAUGUACACGGUGCUGGUUGUAUCAAGAGAUUUAUAACAGAAAAAAGACAAGACAUGACAGGUGUCUUUGGCCAUAA
Brachypodium distachyon (stiff brome) is the source of this 3175-nucleotide long non-coding RNA. RefSeq lists it as uncharacterized. The record is from RefSeq and is a predicted model, not a curated record. The transcript has 4 exons. Lineage: Eukaryota; Viridiplantae; Streptophyta; Magnoliopsida; Poales; Poaceae.